Molecule: transfer RNA, 70 nt
Filed under: Alosa alosa (allis shad)
Lineage: Eukaryota; Metazoa; Chordata; Actinopteri; Clupeiformes; Clupeidae
Description: tRNA-OTHER
Rfam family: tRNA
About the family: Transfer RNA (tRNA) molecules are approximately 80 nucleotides in length.
Source: RNAcentral
GCCGAAAUAGCUCAGUUGGGGAGCUGUUAGACUGAAAAUCUAAAGAUCCCUGGUUCAAUCCGGUUCCGCA